This 625-nucleotide ribosomal RNA is filed under the name uncultured bacterium. RNAcentral's name for it is "bacterial SSU rRNA". It matches the Rfam family "Bacterial small subunit ribosomal RNA", at positions 539 to 1161 of the family's 1533-position model. The record is from RNAcentral.
CGUUAUCNGGAAUUACUNGGGCGUAAAGCGUUCGUAGGCGGUUAGUUAAGUUAGAUGUGAAAGCCCCGGGCUUAACCUGGGAACUGCAUUUAAAACUGGCUAACUCGAGUUUAGGAGAGGGAAGUGGAAUUUCAGGUGUAGCAGUGAAAUGCGUAGAGAUCUGAAGGAACACCAGUGGCGAAGGCGACUUCCUGGACUAAAACUGACGCUGAGGAACGAAAGCGUGGGUAGCAAACGGGAUUAGAUACCCCGGUAGUCCACGCCGUAAACGAUGUCAACUAGCCGUUGGGCCUAUAUACAGGUUUAGUGGCGGAGCUAACGUAUUAAGUUGACCGCCUGGGGAGUACGGCCGCAAGGUUAAAACUCAAAUGAAUUGACGGGGGCCCGCACAAGCGGUGGAGCAUGUGGUUUAAUUCGAUGCAACGCGAAGAACCUUACCUACCCUUGACAUCCAGAGAAUCUGUUAGAGAUAGUAGAGUGCCUUCGGGAACUCUGAGACAGGUGCUGCAUGGCUGUCGUCAGCUCGUGUCGUGAGAUGUUGGGUUAAGUCCCGUAACGAGCGCAACCCUUAUCCUUAGUUGCUAGCAGGUCAAGCUGAGAACUCUAAGGAGACUGCCGGUGAUAA